RNAcentral lists this ribosomal RNA (482 nucleotides) under Paenibacillus sp. iMTII5. Its description in RNAcentral is "bacterial SSU rRNA". It matches the Rfam family "Bacterial small subunit ribosomal RNA", at positions 8 to 469 of the family's 1533-position model. The record is from RNAcentral. Lineage: Bacteria; Bacillati; Bacillota; Bacilli; Caryophanales; Paenibacillaceae.
AGAGUUUGAUCCUGGCUCAGGACGAACGCUGGCGGCAUGCCUAAUACAUGCAAGUCGAGCGGACUUGAUGAGAAGCUUGCUUCUCUGAUGGUUAGCGGCGGACGGGUGAGUAACACGUAGGCAACCUGCCCUCAAGUUUGGGACAACUACCGGAAACGGUAGCUAAUACCGAAUAGUUGUUUUCUUCGCCUGAAGGAAACUGGAAAGACGGAGCAAUCUGUCACUUGGGGAUGGGCCUGCGGCGCAUUAGCUAGUUGGUGGGGUAACGGCUCACCAAGGCGACGAUGCGUAGCCGACCUGAGAGGGUGAUCGGCCACACUGGGACUGAGACACGGCCCAGACUCCUACGGGAGGCAGCAGUAGGGAAUCUUCCGCAAUGGGCGAAAGCCUGACGGAGCAAUGCCGCGUGAGUGAUGAAGGUUUUCGGAUCGUAAAGCUCUGUUGCCAGGGAAGAACGCUUGGGAGAGUAACUGCUCUCAAGG